RNAcentral lists this ribosomal RNA (312 nucleotides) under uncultured eukaryote. Its description in RNAcentral is "partial 18S ribosomal RNA". It matches the Rfam family "Eukaryotic small subunit ribosomal RNA", at positions 1470 to 1796 of the family's 1831-position model. The record is from RNAcentral.
CCCUUAGAUGUUCUGGGCCGCACGCGCGCUACACUGAUGCAUUCAACAAGUAAUUCCUGGUUCGACAGAUUCUGGGUAAUCUUUCCAAUGUGCAUCGUGAUGGGGAUUGACCUUUGGAAUUAUAGGUCAUGAACGAGGAAUUCCUAGUAAGCGUAAGUCAUCAGCUUGCGCUGAUUAAGUCCCUGCCCUUUGUACACACCGCCCGUCGCUCCUACCGAUUUUGAGUGAUCCGAUGAAAUUCUUGGACCGUGUCUUCACAGAUAUGGAAAGUUAAUUAAAUCUUAUCACUUAGAGGAAGGAGAAGUCGUAACA